GAUGAACGCUGGCGGCGUGCUUAACACAUGCAAGUCGAACGAUGAAGCCCAGCUUGCUGGGUGGAUUAGUGGCGAACGGGUGAGUAACACGUGAGUAACCUGCCCUUGACUCUGGGAUAAGCCUGGGAAACUGGGUCUAAUACUGGAUAUGACUUCUCAUCGCAUGGUGGGGGGUGGAAAGAUUUAUUGGUCUUGGAUGGACUCGCGGCCUAUCAGCUUGUUGGUGAGGUAAUGGCUCACCAAGGCGACGACGGGUAGCCGGCCUGAGAGGGGGGCCGGCCACACUGGGACUGAGAGACGGCCCAGACUCCUACGGGAGGCAGCAGUGGGGAAUAUUGCACAAUGGGCGCACGCCUGAUGCAGCGGCGCCGCGUGAGGGAUGACGGCCUUCGGGUUGUAAACCUCUUUCAGUAGGGAAGAAGCGAGAGUGACGGUACCUGCAGAAGAAGCGCCGGCUAACUACGUG
RNAcentral lists this ribosomal RNA (466 nucleotides) under uncultured bacterium. RNAcentral describes it as "partial 16S ribosomal RNA". It matches the Rfam family "Bacterial small subunit ribosomal RNA", at positions 28 to 507 of the family's 1533-position model. The record is from RNAcentral.